GACAGAGGUGCCAAGCGUUAGGCGGAAUCACUGGGCUUAAAGCGUGUGUAGGCGGAAUUGUAAGUACCUUGUGAAAUCCCACGGCUCAACCGUGGAACUGCUCGGUAUACUGCUUUUCUUGAGCCACUUAGGGGCUACCGGAACAAAUGGUGGAGCGGUGAAAUGCGUAGAUAUCAUUUGGAACGCCAAUGGUGAAAACAGGUAGCUGGGGCUGUGCUGACACUGAGACACGAAAGCCAGGGGAGCAAACGGG
RNAcentral lists this ribosomal RNA (253 nucleotides) under uncultured bacterium. RNAcentral describes it as "partial 16S ribosomal RNA". It matches the Rfam family "Bacterial small subunit ribosomal RNA", at positions 524 to 776 of the family's 1533-position model. The record is from RNAcentral.